RNAcentral lists this ribosomal RNA (553 nucleotides) under uncultured bacterium. RNAcentral describes it as "partial 16S ribosomal RNA". It matches the Rfam family "Bacterial small subunit ribosomal RNA", at positions 355 to 900 of the family's 1533-position model. The record is from RNAcentral.
UAGGGAAUCUUCCACAAUGGACGCAAGUCUGAUGGAGCAACGCCGCGUGAGUGAAGAAGGUUUUCGGACCGUAAAGCUCUGUUGUUGGUGAAGAAGGAUAGAGGUAGUAACUGGCCUUUAUUUGACGGUAAUCAACCAGAAAGUCACGGCUAACUACGUGCCAGCAGCCGCGGUAAUACGUAGGUGGCAAGCGUUGUCCGGAUUUAUUGGGCGUAAAGCGAGCGCAGGCGGAAGAAUAAGUCUGAUGUGAAAGCCCUCGGCUUAACCGAGGAAUUGCAUCGGAAACUGUUUUCUUGAGUGCAGAAGAGGAGAGUAGAACUCCAUGUGUAGCGGUGGAAUGCGUAGAUAUAUGGAAGAAUACCAGUGGCGAAGGCGNCUCUCGGUCUGCAACUGACGCUGAGGCUCGAAAGCAUGGGUAGCGAACAGGAUUAGAUACCCUGGUAGUCCAUGCCGUAAACGAUGAGUGCUAAGUGUUGGGAGGCUUCCGCCUCUCAGUGCUGCAGCUAACGCAUUAAGCACUCCGCCUGGGGGAGUACGACCGCAAGGUUGAAAC